GAUGAACGCUGGCGGCGUGCCUAAUACAUGCAAGUCGAGCGAACGGACGAGAAGCUUGCUUCUCUGAUGUUAGCGGCGGACGGGUGAGUAACACGUGGAUAACCUACCUAUAAGACUGGGAUAACUUCGGGAAACCGGAGCUAAUACCGGAUAAUAUUUUGAACCGCAUGGUUCAAAAGUGAAAGACGGUCUUGCUGUCACUUAUAGAUGGAUCCGCGCUGCAUUAGCUAGUUGGUAAGGUAACGGCUUACCAAGGCAACGAUGCAUAGCCGACCUGAGAGGGUGAUCGGCCACACUGGAACUGAGACACGGUCCAGACUCCUAAGGGAGGCAGCAGUAGGGAAUCUUCCGCAAAGGGCGAAAGCCUUACGGAGCAACGCCGCGUGAGUGAUGAAGGUCUUCGGAUCGUAAAACUCUGUUAUUAGGGAAGAACAUAUGUGUAAGUAACUGUGCACAUCUUGACGGUACCUAAUCAGAAAGCCACGGCUAACUACGUG
This 497-nucleotide ribosomal RNA is filed under the name uncultured bacterium. Its description in RNAcentral is "partial 16S ribosomal RNA". It matches the Rfam family "Bacterial small subunit ribosomal RNA", at positions 28 to 507 of the family's 1533-position model. The record is from RNAcentral.